RNAcentral lists this ribosomal RNA (335 nucleotides) under uncultured bacterium. RNAcentral describes it as "bacterial SSU rRNA". It matches the Rfam family "Bacterial small subunit ribosomal RNA", at positions 8 to 334 of the family's 1533-position model. The record is from RNAcentral.
AGGGUUUGAUUCUGGCUCAGGAUGAACGCUAGCUACAGGCUUAACACAUGCAAGUCGAGGGGCAGCAUCAUCAAAGCUUGCUUUGAUGGAUGGCGACCGGCGCACGGGUGAGUAACACGUAUCCAACCUUCCGUACACUCAGGGAUAGCCUUUCGAAAGAAAGAUUAAUACCUGAUGGUAUCUUAAGCACACAUGUAAUUAAGAUUAAAGAUUUAUCGGUGUACGAUGGGGAUGCGUUCCAUUAGGUAGUAGGCGGGGUAACGGCCCACCUAGCCUACGAUGGAUAGGGGUUCUGAGAGGAAGGUCCCCCACAUUGGAACUGAGACACGGUCCAA